UUCACGUAAAUUGUCAAGGUCAAGACAGCAAAUUAGUUACCAUUCCAAUCCAGAGAUGUCGCUGUCAGUUAAUUCUCUUGUCAUAUUUAACAACUGACAGUUGACAAUUAAAUUAAUUUGUUAUUUACUUUUUAUUUUACAGUUUUUGGCUUAAUGAUUUUAUUAUAGUGGUGUUACGUUUUUAAUUAGAUUUAAUCACAAUUUUAAUCAAUUGUAUUAUAGACCAAUCAAAUCCUGAAACAGUGUAUUCCAAUAGACAAGUGUGUCAUCAACAUUUCGGACCUAUAUAUUUUUGGAAGUUUGUAAAAUAUUAUAAGGUAAUAUUUAUCUAAACUCUAAACAAUCAUCCUACAAGAUUCUUUCAAAAAUUUUCAUUCAACUCAAUAUUACACAUCAGUGCUUUCACGUGACACAUGGCAGUAGUGUUUAGCAUUUUGAAGAAAAAUUGGAAUAUUUGAAGUUUUCAGUAAAAUAUGGAAUAAAACAUUGAAUUGUC
RNAcentral lists this long non-coding RNA (496 nucleotides) under Diabrotica virgifera virgifera (western corn rootworm). RNAcentral describes it as "uncharacterized LOC126885371". Lineage: Eukaryota; Metazoa; Arthropoda; Insecta; Coleoptera; Chrysomelidae. The record is from RNAcentral.